GCAGUCGAGCGGACAGAUGGGAGCUUGCUCCCUGAUGUUAGCGGCGGACGGGUGAGUAACACGUGGGUAACCUGCCUGUAAGACUGGGAUAACUCCGGGAAACCGGGGCUAAUACCGGAUGGUUGUUUGAACCGCAUGGUUCAGACAUAAAAGGUGGCUUCGGCUACCACUUACAGAUGGACCCGCGGCGCAUUAGCUAGUUGGUGAGGUAACGGCUCACCAAGGCGACGAUGCGUAGCCGACCUGAGAGGGUGAUCGGCCACACUGGGACUGAGACACGGCCCAGACUCCUACGGGAGGCAGCAGUAGGGAAUCUUCCGCAAUGGACGAAAGUCUGACGGAGCAACGCCGCGUGAGUGAUGAAGGUUUUCGGAUCGUAAAGCUCUGUUGUUAGGGAAGAACAAGUGCCGUUCAAAUAGGGCGGCACCUUGACGGUACCUAACCAGAAAGCCACGGCUAACUACGUGCCAGCAGCCGCGGUAAUACGUAGGUGGCAAGCGUUGUCCGGAAUUAUUGGGCGUAAAGGGCUCGCAGGCGGUUUCUUAAGUCUGAUGUGAAAGCCCCCGGCUCAACCGGGGAGGGUCAUUGGAAACUGGGGAACUUGAGUGCAGAAGAGGAGAGUGGAAUUCCACGUGUAGCGGUGAAAUGCGUAGAGAUGUGGAGGAACACCAGUGGCGAAGGCGACUCUCUGGUCUGUAACUGACGCUGAGGAGCGAAAGCGUGGGGAGCGAACAGGAUUAGAUACCCUGGUAGUCCACGCCGUAAACGAUGAGUGCUAAGUGUUAGGGGGUUUCCGCCCCUUA
Molecule: ribosomal RNA, 803 nt
Filed under: Bacillus velezensis
Lineage: Bacteria; Bacillati; Bacillota; Bacilli; Caryophanales; Bacillaceae
Description: bacterial SSU rRNA
Rfam family: Bacterial small subunit ribosomal RNA
Source: RNAcentral